CCCAUAAGAGGGGGAUAACGAUCCGGAAACGGGUGCUAAUACCGCAUAGUUUUUCUUGAUCGCAUGAUUGAGAAAGGAAAGACGGCCUUUGUGCUGUCGCUUAUGGAUGGACCCGCGGCGUAUUAGUUAGUUGGUGAGGUAACGGCUCACCAAGACGAUGAUACGUAGCCGACCUGAGAGGGUGAUCGGCCACAUUGGGACUGAGACACGGCCCAAACUCCUACGGGAGGCAGCAGUAGGGAAUCUUCCGCAAUGGACGAAAGUCUGACGGAGCAACGCCGCGUGAGUGAAGAAGGUUUUUUACCGGAUCGUAAAACUCUGUUGUCAGAGAAGAACAAGUUGGAGAGUAACUGCUCCAGCCUUGACGGUAUCUGACCAGAAAGCCACGGCUAACUACGUGCCAGCAGCAGC
This 411-nucleotide ribosomal RNA is filed under the name uncultured bacterium. RNAcentral describes it as "bacterial SSU rRNA". It matches the Rfam family "Bacterial small subunit ribosomal RNA", at positions 129 to 518 of the family's 1533-position model. The record is from RNAcentral.